UACGUAGGUCUCAAGCGUUAUCCGGAUUUAUUGGGUUUAAAGGGUGCGCAGGCGGCGCGUUAAGUCAGCGGUGAAAUCUCAUGGCUCAACCAUGGAACUGACGUUGAUACUGGCGUGCUAGAGUACGGACGGCGCCGGCGGAAUGUGUCAUGUAGCGGUGAAAUGCUUAGAUAUGCCACAGAACACCGAUCGCGAAGGCAGCUGGAGGCCGGGACUGACGCUCAGGCACGAAAGCGUGGGGAUCAAACAG
RNAcentral lists this ribosomal RNA (250 nucleotides) under uncultured prokaryote. RNAcentral describes it as "partial 16S ribosomal RNA". It matches the Rfam family "Bacterial small subunit ribosomal RNA", at positions 524 to 775 of the family's 1533-position model. The record is from RNAcentral.